This is a long non-coding RNA of Ipomoea triloba (trilobed morning glory), 1506 nucleotides long. RefSeq lists it as uncharacterized. NCBI's taxonomy places the organism in Eukaryota, Viridiplantae, Streptophyta, Magnoliopsida, Solanales, Convolvulaceae. The record is from RefSeq and is a predicted model, not a curated record. The transcript has 5 exons.
AAAAAAAAUUGGUAAAAAAAAAAAAAAAAUUCGGGUUAGGGUUCAGUCCGCUAUCCAACCCUUCAAGAAGCACGAAGUGCCCCGGCGAUCGCCUUCCUCUCCUCCACGUUCAUCGCCCCGAUCGCCUCGCGGUUCCUCUCCACUCUCCGCCGCCCUCGCCCCGGCGAUCGGCUUCCUCUCCUCCACGUUCAUCGCCCCGAUCGCCUCGCGGUUCCUCUCCGCCGCUCCGCCGCCCUCGCCCGCGGUUCCUCGCCCCGGCGAUCGACGUUCAUCGCCCCGAUCGCCUCGCGGUUCCUCUCCACUCUCCGCCGCCCGCGGUUCCUCUCCGCCGCCCCCGCCCGCGGUUCCUCUCCACUCUCCGCCGCCCCCGCCCGCGGUUCCUCUCCACUCUCCGCCGCUCUUCACCUCCACGUCCCUCGCCCCGGCGAUCGCGGUUCCUCUCCGCUCUCGAUUUGCUUCUCCCACGUCCACGGAACACUCUCCGCUCCAUCUCAGACUCCGUGCGGAGAGAGCGUCUGCAUUUAUUCGUGUCUUUUUGGUCUUAUCCGCGCUUUCUCCGUCCUUCAAAACCCUAACAAAGCUAAACAAUCGGCCUGCACCAAUCAUCGCAAAUAAGAUAUGGCUUUUGAGGGCAUUGAAAAUAUCCAGGCUGAAUUUUCACACACGAGGGUAUUAACUACAAAACUUUUGCCAGUUCAUGAUCAAGUAAGGGAUGGAACUUGCUUUCCUAUACAUGCUGCCGAACUUAUGGGGAUUAUGUAUAGCUUAAACAAUUUCAAUCCCCAUAUCCCGCUUUCUUCUCAAGAGUUAGUAGACUGGAUUCCCGUCAGAUAUCCAGAAUCCUAUGAAUAUAAUUCGCGUGCAAUCUUUAAUAGUGCGUACGGGUUAUAUAAUUUAGAGGUGGAACAUGUUUUGGAUUAUCUGAUGGAUGACGGUAUAUGUGAAGCAACUGAAUACCCAUAUAUAGCGGAGAGGAAUCCUCCAGAGCGUAGAAUAAUUACGAGGGGGAUGGUUAAAUACAAAUGUAGAAGAUGGAAAUUAUGUCGUUUUAGGUUUUGGAGACCUCAGUGGGUAGUUCGGACACUCGCAGAUCACCCGUUACUCGGGUAUAUUUUUUAAAAUCUUGGAAUAGGGGAGAUUUAUGAAGGGCCGAGAGAGGGGGAGGUUUUGCAGAAUGAGGAAGGGGAGGACGUUUUGCAGGAUGGGACGUAUUCGCAUGCAGUUUUAGUGACAGGGUACGGAUUGGUAAAUAACGUGCCAUGCUUAGAGAUUAAAAAUUCAUGGGGUACCGGCUGGGGAAACAAUGGUUACGGCCUAGUUUGUUUCAAAGCAAUUCCAUGGUAUGCGUCUAUUGAAUCCGUGUAUAGGGUGGAGCCAGUUUAGUUUACCUUCGGAGUUUACCUAUUUUUAGGUUUUUUAACCAAGUUUCAUGUUAUGGAACUAACUCUCUAACAUUUGUGAUAAAGUUGAUCGUUCUAUCCGUGAUAAAUUUUUCAUUUUGGUUUC